RNAcentral lists this long non-coding RNA (212 nucleotides) under Hordeum vulgare. RNAcentral describes it as "long non-coding RNA (HVUL_LNC018360)". Lineage: Eukaryota; Viridiplantae; Streptophyta; Magnoliopsida; Poales; Poaceae. The record is from RNAcentral.
AUUCUCCUCUUCCUUCUCCUUCUCCUCCUCCUUCUCCUCCUCCUCCUUCUUCUUCUUCUUCUUCUUUUUCUUCUUCUUCUUCUUCUCUUCUUGCUUCUUCUCUUCUUGCUUCUUCUCUUUCUUCUUCUACGUAGGUUAUUUUCCCCAACAAAGACAUACUUAGCUAAUUAUCCACCUAAAUGAUAUAAUUAGCCAAUUUAGCUCCAAUAUGG